UCUCCUUCUUCCAUCGACCCCUUUCUUCCUCUCGAUAUAGGAGGACGUCUCCCACCGCAGAUCAAUGCGCCGCCGCCACAGACCAGGUCUCCUUCCUCUUCUUCGAUCCAAGGCAAUCUCUUUCCUGUUCUUUAGUCCAAUCCUUCUAUUUCCUGAUCCAAUCCUUCUUUAACCUGAAACUGUCCGGGGCUCACCCGAUCUCCUCCACCAGCGUGGCCACCAUCCUGAUCCCCUCUUUCUUCUCUACCAUGAGCGCCUACUCAGCCGAGAUUCGCCCGCGAGGAGAGGCAGGGAGCAGCAGCACGCCCUGGGCAUCCCGUGAGCCUGCCUAAUCCCGCUGUUGCCCUCCGAGAUUCGCCGACCAUAAGCAGUUCCGCGUGCACGGCCAUGGAAAGACCUCCAAGCCGCCGCCGAUUCGUGUACUUCGAGGGCUGCCACCCACAACGAGGAACACGAGCGUGGUGCGUCGACGUGGCAAACCCGUUCUCCUUCCUCACUACCAUGUGCAGUUCGCCGAUGCCCGUCGCCAACCCAGUCCUUACGCGAACGACACAAUCUGGACCCUGAUUAUCAUGAUUGUAUGAGAGAUUAAUACCAUUGUACCGUGUGUGCUAGCUAGAAACCGUAGGGUGAUGCUUGGUGUAUUCUUGUGUAGUUGUGUUUUCAUCGGAAAAACAAGGAUGUGGGUCAGACUCCAGUUCAUCGCGACUCCAUUAACGGAGUUUGACCACUCUGAAAAAGGUGAUGCUCUGUAUGCAAUGGAGUUUGGCUCUUGCUCUCGAAAAGAUGGUGAACAAGAAGCUGCCCAACCUGCACACUGUAAGUUUCAACUUUAUGCCUAUUUAUUUUGCAAAUUAAAAAUUCUAAAAAAAAUAUUCCGAAUGAAAAAACAAAUUUUAGAAAAUAUCCAAAAUUUUGUUGCUAUUUCAUAAAAUAUUAGAACUUGCACAAAGUUUCCAUUUUUUCCAAAAAAAUGUCCGUGUAUAAAAGAUACACAUUUUCUAAAAAUCUUAUGAUUUUCAGCACA
This is a long non-coding RNA of Triticum aestivum (bread wheat), 1027 nucleotides long. RefSeq lists it as uncharacterized. The transcript has 3 exons. The record is from RefSeq and is a predicted model, not a curated record. Lineage: Eukaryota; Viridiplantae; Streptophyta; Magnoliopsida; Poales; Poaceae.